Molecule: ribosomal RNA, 253 nt
Filed under: uncultured bacterium
Lineage: Bacteria
Description: partial 16S ribosomal RNA
Rfam family: Bacterial small subunit ribosomal RNA
Source: RNAcentral
UACGUAGGGGGCUAGCGUUGUCCGGAAUCAUUGGGCGUAAAGGGCGCGUAGGCGGCCCGGUAAGUGCGCUGUGAAAGUCAAAGGCUCAACCUUUGAAUGUCAGCGGAUACUGCCGGGCUAGAGUCCGGAAGAGGCGAGUGGAACUCCUGGUGUAGCGGUGGAAUGCGCAGAUAUCAGGAAGAACACCAGCGGCGAAGGCAGCUCGCUGGGACGGAACUGACGCUAAGGCGCGAAAGCGUGGGGAGCGAACAGG